UCUGCCCUUCGCGUCACAUGCGGGUAAAAUUCCGGUGGCCUUAAGCAAUUCCGAGGGAGCUGGCUCUGUUUGGGCCGUGGUCCACUUACCCGGCGCCCACCUGUAUAUACAGGUCCUCGGGAAUUCAGACCCCGACGGUCGCGGUGGGGCCGCC
This 154-nucleotide unclassified non-coding RNA is filed under the name Aliiroseovarius halocynthiae. RNAcentral describes it as "6S / SsrS RNA". Lineage: Bacteria; Pseudomonadati; Pseudomonadota; Alphaproteobacteria; Rhodobacterales; Paracoccaceae. The record is from RNAcentral.